This 1099-nucleotide ribosomal RNA is filed under the name uncultured Alphaproteobacteria bacterium. RNAcentral describes it as "bacterial SSU rRNA". It matches the Rfam family "Bacterial small subunit ribosomal RNA", at positions 274 to 1392 of the family's 1533-position model. Lineage: Bacteria; Pseudomonadati; Pseudomonadota; Alphaproteobacteria. The record is from RNAcentral.
CUGUGAUCAAUAGCUGAUUUGAGAGGAUGAUCAGCCACAUUGGGACUGAGACACGGCCCAAACUCCUACGGGAGGCAGCAGUGGGGAAUCUUGCACAAUGGAGGAAACUCUGAUGCAGCGAUGCCGCGUGAGUGAAGAAGGCCCUUGGGUUGUAAAGCUCUUUCGUCGGGGAAGAAAAUGACUGUACCCGAAUAAGAAGGUCCGGCUAACUUCGUGCCAGCAGCCGCGGUAAUACGAAGGGACCUAGCGUAGUUCGGAAUUACUGGGCUUAAAGAGUUCGUAGGUGGUUGAAAAAGUUGGUGGUGAAAUCCCAGAGCUUAACUCUGGAACUGCCAUCAAAACUUUUCAGCUAGAGUUUGAUAGAGGAAAGCAGAAUUUCUAGUGUAGAGGUGAAAUUCGUAGAUAUUAGAAAGAAUACCAAUUGCGAAGGCAGCUUUCUGGAUCAUUACUGACACUGAGGAACGAAAGCAUGGGUAGCGAAGAGGAUUAGAUACCCUCGUAGUCCAUGCCGUAAACGAUGUGUGUUAGACGUUGGAAAUUUAUUUUCAGUGUCGCAGCGAAAGCGAUAAACACACCGCCUGGGGAGUACGACCGCAAGGUUAAAACUCAAAUGAAUUGACGGGGACCCGCACAAGUAGUGGAGCAUGUGGUUUAAUUCGAAGAUACGCGCAGAACCUUACCAACACUUGACAUGUUCGUCGCGACUCUAAGAGAUUAGAGUUUUCGGUUCGGCCGGACGAAACACAGGUGCUGCAUGGCUGUCGUCAGCUCGUGUCGUGAGAUGUUGGGUUAAGUCCCGCAACGAGCGCAACCCUCACUUUUAGUUGCCAUCAUUAAGUUGGGCACUCUGAAAGAACUGCCAGUGAUAAGCUGGAGGAAGGUGGGGAUGACGUCAAGUCCUCAUGGCCCUUACGUGUUGGGCUACACACGUGCUACAAUGGUAUCUACAACAGGAAGCAAAACUGCGAAGUUAAGCAAAUCCUUAAAAGAUACCUCAGUUCGGAUUGCACUCUGCAACUCGAGUGCAUGAAGCUGGAAUUACUAGUAAUCGUGGAUCAGCGUGCCACGGUGAAUGCGUUCCCGGGUCUUGUACACACCG